RNAcentral lists this small RNA (30 nucleotides) under Bombyx mori (domestic silkworm). Its description in RNAcentral is "ovarian small RNA-31206". Lineage: Eukaryota; Metazoa; Arthropoda; Insecta; Lepidoptera; Bombycidae. The record is from RNAcentral.
UGAAUGUGUCUUGAGUGUUACUCCAUUUGC